RNAcentral lists this ribosomal RNA (660 nucleotides) under Mrakia robertii. Its description in RNAcentral is "eukaryotic LSU rRNA". The stretch from base 138 to 291 matches the Rfam family "5.8S ribosomal RNA". The record is from RNAcentral. Lineage: Eukaryota; Fungi; Basidiomycota; Tremellomycetes; Cystofilobasidiales; Mrakiaceae.
UUGACCUCUCACCCUUCACAUCCACAUACACCUGUGCACCGUUUGGCUCUUAUAAAAGACGAAAGUCUGCAAUGAGAGUCAUCAAUUUUAUACAUACCCCAGUCUUAUGAAUGUAACAGUUUUAAUAAACAUAAUAAAACUUUUAACAACGGAUCUCUUGGUUCUCGCAUCGAUGAAGAACGCAGCGAAAUGCGAUAAGUAAUGUGAAUUGCAGAAUUCAGUGAAUCAUCGAAUCUUUGAACGCACCUUGCGCUCCUUGGUAUUCCGAGGAGCAUGCCUGUUUGAGUGUCAUGAAACUCUCAACCUUCAACUUUUUUAUUAAGGCUGAAGGCUUGGACUUGAGCGCUGCUGGUUCUCACGAACCGGCUCGCUUGAAAUGAAUUAGCAGAUCCUUUUUGUAAUCGGUUCCACUCGACGUGAUAAGUAUUUCGCCGAGGACAUAUGAAAGUAUGGCCGAGAUAAAGAAAGUUCUAGAUCCGCUUCUAAUUCUUAGAUAAAGCUUGCUUUACUAAACCCCAUUUUAUGAUCUGGCCUCAAAUCAGGUAGGACUACCCGCUGAACUUAAGCAUAUCAAUAAGCGGAGGAAAAGAAACUAACAAGGAUUCCCCUAGUAACGGCGAGUGAAGCGGGAUGAGCUCAAAUUUAAAAUCUGGCGGCCUC